Molecule: ribosomal RNA, 466 nt
Filed under: uncultured bacterium
Lineage: Bacteria
Description: partial 16S ribosomal RNA
Rfam family: Bacterial small subunit ribosomal RNA
Source: RNAcentral
GAUGAACGCUGGCGGCGUGCUUAACACAUGCAAGUCGAACGAUGAAGCCCAGCUUGCUGGGUGGAUUAGUGGCGAACGGGUGAGUAACACGUGAGUAACCUGCCCUUAACUCUGGGAUAAGCCUGGGAAACUGGGUCUAAUACCGGAUAGGAGCGUCCACCGCAUGGUGGGUGUUGGAAAGAUUUAUCGGUUUUGGAUGGACUCGCGGCCUAUCAGCUUGUUGGUGAGGUAAUGGCUCACCAAGGCGACGACGGGUAGCCGGCCUGAGAGGGUGACCGGCCACACUGGGACUGAGACACGGCCCAGACUCCUACGGGAGGCAGCAGUGGGGAAUAUUGCACAAUGGGCGAAAGCCUGAUGCAGCGACGCCGCGUGAGGGAUGACGGCCUUCGGGUUGUAAACCUCUUUCAGUAGGGAAGAAGCGAAAGUGACGGUACCUGCAGAAGAAGCAACGGCUAACUACGUG